Molecule: long non-coding RNA, 1107 nt
Filed under: Anas platyrhynchos platyrhynchos (common mallard)
Lineage: Eukaryota; Metazoa; Chordata; Aves; Anseriformes; Anatidae
Description: lncRNA (ENSAPLG00000025503.1)
Source: RNAcentral
AAUUCUACUAUGCUUUUGGCUUUGGUAGUAAGUCAUGGCUGUAGGUUCCACAACUAAAUCAUAGAAUUCAUUGUCAAAGUCAUCAUGAAGAUCAGUAAUUUAAUGAGAUUCUAGCCAAGCCCAGGAAGCAUUUAAAAAGUGUCAGUGAUUUUUGGGAAGGUUUUAUUUAAGAAACACUAUUUUUUCAAUAAAAGUUUUUCAGAGCUUUCAUUUAUCUUUAUCCAAAUUCAGUUUAACAUUCUGCUUUCUUCUUGUGACACUCCAUCUUAGUAUUAAUAUACUGCUUUUGAAAUAGUGAAGCUUUAAUUCUGAAAACAAAUGAAGAUGUUUUUACCAUUAUCUGGGCACAAAAUGGCAUUUUGCCUAUUCUUUCCUGAUGUUUUCAGGGACAAGAGCAAAACCUUGGCAAAGCUUUCAGGAACUUUAAUGGGAAUUCUCCAAGAUUUAAUUUGCAUGACAGAGCUGUACAUGAGUGACAAAAAAAUGUUAGAGACAGGUAAAUGACACCCUUUAGCUGAACACCUAUGUGUGCACAUAAAUGCCAUAAAAUUCCAUUUUUUGACAUAUGGAUUUCAAAUUCAGCUACUCUACAGAAGUUUGUGGCAACGUAUUUCUGCUUGUCAUGUGUUCUGUGGGAGUUUUCCUACGCAGUAUUUAGGAACUUCUAAUGUGCACAGUCUUCUGUGAAAACGCUACUUUUAAGGCUGAAGUUUACCUCCGUAUCAAGAAAAGCAAGAUCUCAAGCAGACGAAAUCCCCUGAAUUCCUUUUUAACUCCAGAGGAAUCUCCUAGUACAUGGGCAGCAGCUUCAAAAUGGUUACGGUGAAUGUAGUCCCAGCAGUUCAACUUUAUCAUGACAGCACACAGUUCUGGUGUGGCGCACAUUACCAAUCUGUUUCCGAAACAACUUUUUCCAUCUUAAGUCCUCAAUGUGAAAAAGAAUGUAUGUAUGUAUUAGUUCAUUGUCAAAGUAGCAGACUUAGAAUUUAUCUAAAUUAAAGCAUAACUUACAGUCUCUUGUGAAUAACUGAAUAACUUAGUUCAAUGUUAGGUCACAGUGGAACAUAGACUAUAACAGGAAUACAUAAAAGCUCUGAAGGGAGCAAA